RNAcentral lists this ribosomal RNA (449 nucleotides) under uncultured bacterium. RNAcentral's name for it is "partial 16S ribosomal RNA". It matches the Rfam family "Bacterial small subunit ribosomal RNA", at positions 328 to 793 of the family's 1533-position model. The record is from RNAcentral.
AAGCCAGACUCCUACGGGAGGCAGCAGUGGGGGAUAUUGCACAAUGGGGGGAACCCUGAUGCAGCGACGCCGCGUGGGUGAAGGAGCGUUUCGGCGCGUAAAGCCCUAUCGGCAGGGAAGAAGGAGGACGGUACCUGACUAAGAAGCCCCGGCUAACUACGUGCCAGCAGCCGCGGUAAUACGUAGGGGGCAAGCGUUAUCCGGAUUUACUGGGUGUAAAGGGGGCGCAGACGGCAGCGCAAGCCAGGAGUGAAAGCCCGGGGCCCAACCCCGGGACUGCUCUUGGAACUGCGCGGCUGGAGUGCAGGAGGGGCAGGCGGAAUUCCUGGUGUAGCGGUGAAAUGCGUAGAUAUCAGGAGGAACACCGGUGGCGAAGGCGGCCUGCUGGACUGCGACUGACGUUGAGGCCCGAAAGCGUGGGGAGCAAACAGGAUUAGAUACCCCCGUAA